CUCCUCCACCUGCUUUUCCAUCUUCCAGGAGCAGUGUGUGCCCAGCCCUGCCCACCAGGGACAUUUGGCCAGAACUGCAGCCAGGAUUGUCCUUGCCACCAUGGAGGGCAGUGUGACCACGUGACUGGACAGUGCCACUGUACAGCUGGAUACAUGGGGGACAGGUGCCAAGAGGAGUGCCCCUUCGGGUCCUUCGGCUUCCAGUGCUCACAGCACUGUGACUGCCACAAUGGGGGGCAGUGUUCACCCACCACGGGUGCCUGCGAGUGUGAGCCUGGCUACAAGGGCCCACGCUGCCAGGAGCGACUGUGCCCGGAGGGCCUGCAUGGCCCA
Molecule: long non-coding RNA, 333 nt
Filed under: Homo sapiens (human)
Lineage: Eukaryota; Metazoa; Chordata; Mammalia; Primates; Hominidae
Description: multiple EGF like domains 11 (ENSG00000277848.4)
Source: RNAcentral